AUGAUAUGGUAUUCAAAUUAAGGUGGCAUGGUAUUCAAAUGAAGAUGAUAUGGUAUUCAAAUUAAGGUGGCAUGGUAUUCAAAUGAAGAUGAUAUGGUAUUCAAAUGAAGAUGAUAUGGUAUUCAAAUGAAGAUGAUAUGGUAUUCAAAUUAAGAUGAUAUGGUAUUCAAAUUAAGGUGGCAUGGUAUUCAAAUGAAGAUGAUAUGGUAUUCAAAUUAAGGUGGCAUGGUAUUCAAAUUAAGGUGGCAUGGUAUUCAAAUGAAGAUGAUAUGGUAUUCAAAUGAAGAUGAUAUGGUAUUCAAAUUAAGGUGGCAUGGUAUUCAAAUUAAGGUGGCAUGGUAUUCAAAUUAAGGUGAAAUGGUAUUCAAAUUAAGGUGGCAUCCUUAUGUUUGACUUUGCA
Long non-coding RNA from Oncorhynchus tshawytscha (Chinook salmon), 400 nucleotides. The record is from Ensembl. NCBI's taxonomy places the organism in Eukaryota, Metazoa, Chordata, Actinopteri, Salmoniformes, Salmonidae.